This 521-nucleotide ribosomal RNA is filed under the name uncultured bacterium. RNAcentral's name for it is "bacterial SSU rRNA". It matches the Rfam family "Bacterial small subunit ribosomal RNA", at positions 26 to 518 of the family's 1533-position model. The record is from RNAcentral.
AGGACGAACGGCUGGCGGCGUGCCUAAUACAUGCAAGUCGAACGGUCUUUCUAUGGAAGCUUGCUUCCACUGAGAAGAUAGUGGCGAACGGGUGAGUAACACGUGGGUAACCUGCCCAUAAGAGGGGGAUAACAUCCGGAAACGGGUGCUAAUACCGCAUAGUUUUCUUGAUCGCAUGAUCGGGAAAGGAAAGACGGCCUUUGUGCUGUCGCUUAUGGAUGGACCCGCGGCGUAUUAGUUAGUUGGUGAGGUAACGGCUCACCAAGACGAUGAUACGUAGCCGACCUGAGAGGGUGAUCGGCCACAUUGGGACUGAGACACGGCCCAAACUCCUACGGGAGGCAGCAGUAGGGAAUCUUCCGCAAUGGACGAAAGUCUGACGGAGCAACGCCGCGUGAGUGAAGAAGGUUUUUUCGGAUCGUAAAACUCUGUUGUCAGAGAAGAACAAGUUGGAGAGUAACUGCUCCAGCCUUGACGGUAUCUGACCAGAAAGCCACGGCUAACUACGUGCCAGCAGCGGC